UGCAAGGCAAGUUGAAUCAGGCAAAUUAACGGCGCCCCGGAAUUUCCUCCUCUCGCCUUCCCUUUCCUUGCCUUGCAUCUCCCCGCCACGACUGGCCGCCGUGUGCUGGCCACCAACCACGGUGGCGCGGCUGGCCGUUUGCCGGCGCACGCGUGCGUGGACGUCGCGCGCGGAUCCGUCGAUCUCGCAUGCCUGCGUCACGCGCGUGGCCGAGGGCGGCUGCCGCUGCACGCCGGCGACGACGCAGGCCAUGGAGGGCUUUGGCUGUUUCGUCGUCCUCCACGCGCAGCUCGCGCCACGGGGAUCCCUCCUUCCCGGCGUCCUCCACUAGGCUGUUCCGACGCGGCAGUACUCCGACGUGAUGCGUCCAGGCGGUCUCUUCGCACGACCUCGCCGGGAACAAAAGUCCGCCCCCGUGUGGCCGACCUGAGCCCAAAAGAAUCGACACUGCUAUGUGGCGUGGUGGAUAUACGGCGGCUCCCGACCUUUGUGCUGGAGGAUGGGAAGACGAGGCACGCGUUCUACAUACUGGCCCAGUAGGCCCUCAAGUUUGAGUGCUCGAGUGGCUGUGAGAUACGGGGAAACUUGAAGAAGAUGUUGGCCAAGGCUGAACCCGAACUCAGUAACCGUGUAUUUGUUUGGUGUUAUGGGUGCUGUAUACAACGGUGUCCUCCUCAAGUGCUCACUGUUGUUCUUCUUCGGCUACAACCAUACUGGCUUCAUCAAACACACCAUGCAGAUCAUAUGUAGGAUGAUGACUUGGAGGAUUUCAGAACAUGUGCAGUAGUAUUGGCCACAGAAAACACUAAAGUGAAGGUACUUGCCAAAUUUGCAUCACUCAGUCCUCACAAGCAUGUAGUGGAAGUUUGCGAUUGGUUUUCUCAUGGGAGGGUUGUCAGCUGCAGUUUGAAAGACUGCUGCAGCUCCCAUUGAGCGUGUUAAGCUGCUUAUUCAGAACGAGGAUGAGAUAAUCAAGUCUGGCUGGCUCUCUAAGCCAUACAAGGGUAUUGGUGUCGGCUCUGAGCAGACAAUCAAGGAUGAAGUUUUUUGCUCACUUUGGAUUGGGGACACUGCUAAUGUCAUCGGUAUGGCCCAACUCAGAAGGCUGCAAAACCCGUGGAAUGGCUAAUGCUUUGCUCCGCGUGUGGGAGGAAGCUGCUCGUGAUCUGCAUGCCGCGUCAAGCAUUGAGUGUGAUGGUGGAGCCUCAUGCACACAAGAUGGUGGAGCACCGCUGGAGGUAUGGCAACUGUGAAAACUGAGGGAAGAAAGAAAGCUGAGCGUCACCGGCUUCAUCGUCGUGCCAACGCACACGGGUGAUUCUUCGUAUUAAAGUUGCUACUCCCGGAGUACCGGGUAGGUGCUUUCCAAGCGUAAUUAUGUUCAUGGUGGUGGACAGAGGACGUGCUAGCGGCCGAGCCUUGUGCAUUGUCUGGUGCUGGUAGGUAGCUUCUGGGACGCUGAGCCAGGGUGGCUUGUUGGUAAUUUUAGGCCGUACAGAAUCUUUAUGUUUUAUUGUUAAGUAGGAGAAGAAUACUGUGAUGUUAAGAGUAACAUGCUCAUUGCUGGCCUGGAGACUCCAGGUUAGUUUUGUGUCUACAUCAUUGCUGGUCGAUCUUCGGAAGCUUUGUUUUGGUUUUGAAAAAGAAAAGAGCCUGUGUGUUUUACAAUAUGUUGUAUGUGCAUGAAGCUCUUUUGAAAUAUGGUGUUAAGUAGAUUGCUUGUUGGUAAUGUUAGGCUGUCCGUAAUAGGAAAGCGUAUGUCUGAGCGCUGCAUUGCUGAAACUCUGCAUUGGUCGUCUGGUGCAGGGGAUGGUGAGUCGCCGGCUAGGAGGACAUGGCCUGACUAUGUGCCGUGGCUCAUCUUUGGCUGAUUCAGUCAGGCGUCCUUCUCGGGUUGUGCUGCUGGUUCUUCAUCUUAUUUAAAGUAAUGUUUCGAAUCGUUGUAGUAUACUACUCCCUCUGUCUAUAAAAGCAUGUCUUAACUUUGCCAAAAAAAAAUUUGAAUGGUACUUUGCCAAAAUUUGAAUGCAUCUAAACCCAUUGAGGACAAGGAGGCCAAGGCCGUGUGGUUUGGUCUGGCUGUGUCGACAGUCGUAGCAGCUUCUUCUGUGUGAAAAAAUGCUUCAUUGGUUGUAAUAUUUCGUGUCGGGUUUGUAUCGUAAUGCUCCAGUCCAGAAGCUAUGUGAAAAAAUGUGCUUGAGAGGUGUUUUUUUAUAUAUUUUCUAAUGAUGCAUGCUGUCAAAGUCCAGAAAAUAGGGGUGGUAGCCGUGAUUUUUUGUUUUGAAUUGCUA
Molecule: long non-coding RNA, 2291 nt
Organism: Lolium perenne
Lineage: Eukaryota; Viridiplantae; Streptophyta; Magnoliopsida; Poales; Poaceae
Source: RefSeq, a predicted model, not a curated record